UACGAGGGGGGCAAGCGUUGUUCGGAAUUAUUGGGCGUAAAGGGCGCGUAGGCGGUGCGGUAAGUCUGAUGUGAAAUCUCCGGGCUCAACUCGGAGUCUGCAUCAGAAACUGCCGUGCUUGAGUGUGGGAGAGGUGAGUGGAAUUCCCGGUGUAGAGGUGAAAUUCGUAGAUAUUCGGAAGAACACCAGUGGCGAAGGCGACUUACUGGACGACCGUUGACGCUGAGGUGCGAAAGCGUGGGGAGCAAACAGG
This 253-nucleotide ribosomal RNA is filed under the name uncultured bacterium. RNAcentral's name for it is "partial 16S ribosomal RNA". It matches the Rfam family "Bacterial small subunit ribosomal RNA", at positions 524 to 776 of the family's 1533-position model. The record is from RNAcentral.